UUACACCUGAAAGAUAUCUGCUCAACCCAGAUCGUCUUGAUGCCAAACUCUAGCCCAAUCUACAUUGACCUGGAAUAACAAAGUCACUCCCCACUCUAAACCAAAGCAUUUGCUAGUCCUAGUAUAGGCGAUAGAAAAGACACCACAUGGCGCGAUAGAGAGCACGUACCGUAAGGGAAAGAUGAAAUAGUAGUGAAAUAAUCUAAGCUAAAAACAGCAAAGAUCAACCCUUGUACCUUUUGCAUAAUGGUCUAGCAAGAAAAACCAAGCAAAAUGAAUUUAAGUUUGCCACCCCGAAACCCAAGCGAGCUACUUGCGAGCAGCUAAUAUUGAGCGAACCCGUCUCUGUUGCAAAAGAGUGGGACGACUUGCUAGUAGAGGUGAAAAGCCAAUCGAGCUGGGUGAUAGCUGGUUGCCUGUGAAACGAAUCUUAGUUCACUCUUAAUUCUUCUCCAAGGAAACCCACGAACCCUAAUGAAGCGAAUUAAGGGCUAUUUAAAGGAGGUACAGCUCCUUUAAAAAAGAAUACAAUCUCCACGAGCGGAUAAGUACCCCCCC
Molecule: ribosomal RNA, 558 nt
Filed under: Parus major (Great Tit)
Lineage: Eukaryota; Metazoa; Chordata; Aves; Passeriformes; Paridae
Description: partial 16S ribosomal RNA
Rfam family: Bacterial large subunit ribosomal RNA
Source: RNAcentral